GAAUUCGCCCUUAGAGUUUCUUUCUGGCUCAGGACGAACGCUGGCGGCGUGCCUAACACAUGCAAGUCGAACGAGAAUCUCAUGAAGGAGACUUCGGUCAACGGAUUGGGAGGACAGUGGCGGACGGGUGAGUAACGCGUGAGCAACCUGCCUUACAGAGGGGGACAACAGUUGGAAACGACUGCAAAUACCGCAUAACGUAUUUUUGAGGCAUCUUAGAAAUACCAAAGAUUUAUCGCUGCAAGAUGGGCUCGCGUCUGAUUAGCUAGUUGGUGGGGUAACGGCUCACCAAGGCGACGAUCAGUAGCCGGACUGAGAGGUUGACCGGCCACAUUGGGACUGAGAUACGGCCCAGACUCCUACGGGAGGCAGCAGUGGGGAAUAUUGGGCAAUGGGCGAAAGCCUGACCCAGCAACGCCGCGUGAAGGAAGAAGGCCUUCGGGUUGUAAACUUCUUUUACCAGGGACGAGCACAAUGACGGUACCUGGAGAAAAAGCAACGGCUAACUACGUGCCAGCAGCCGCGGUAAUACGUAGGUUGCAAGCGUUGUCCGGAAUUACUGGGUGUAAAGGGCGUGUAGGCGGAGAUGCAAGUCAGGAGUGAAAUCCAUGGGCUCAACCCAUGAACUGCUCUUGAAACUGUAUCCCUUGAGUAUCGGAGAGGCAAGCGGAAUUCCUAGUGUAGCGGUGAAAUGCGUAGAUAUUAGGAGGAACACCAGUGGCGAAGGCGGCUUGCUGGACGACAACUGACGCUGAGGCGCGAAAGCGUGGGGAGCAACCAGAAUUAGAUACCCUGGUAGUCCCCGCUGUAAAC
RNAcentral lists this ribosomal RNA (813 nucleotides) under uncultured bacterium. RNAcentral's name for it is "bacterial SSU rRNA". It matches the Rfam family "Bacterial small subunit ribosomal RNA", at positions 1 to 807 of the family's 1533-position model. The record is from RNAcentral.